This 454-nucleotide small RNA is filed under the name Pan troglodytes (chimpanzee). RNAcentral describes it as "processed transcript". Lineage: Eukaryota; Metazoa; Chordata; Mammalia; Primates; Hominidae. The record is from RNAcentral.
GCGUUGCUAUGGCGCCGGGGGCGGAUCUUCCCUGACGGGCAGUACUUUCACCUGCGGCACCGGGGCGUGGUCCAGCAGUCCCUGACCCCGCACUGGGGCCACCGCCUGCACCUGAAGAAAAACCCCAAGCUGUGUGCUUUCUGUGGCUCAGACCCGCCCGGACCCCAAGUCUAUACAGCAAGAGGAGGCAGGAAGACCCAGAUACGGAAAUCAUGGCGCCUGCCAGGGCCUGGUGCAGUGGUUCCAGCAGCAGACGCUGCAGCGGCGGGUGAAACGCUCUGUGGUGGUGCCCACGGACCCCUGGUUCUCCAAGCAGUGGUACAUGAACAGCGAGGCCCAACCAGACCUGAGCAUCCUGCAGGCCUGGAGUCAGGGGCUGUCAGGCCAGGGCAUCGUGGUCUCUGUGCUGGACGAUGGCAUCGAGAAGGACCACCCGGACCUCUGGGCCAACUAC